GUGAGGAAUAUUGGACAAUGGGCGCAAGCCUGAUCCAACCAUGCCGCGUGCAGGAAGACGCAUCUAUGGUGUGUAAACUGCUUUUGUACGGGAAGAAACACUCCCUCGUGAGGGAGCUUGACGGUACCGUAAGAAUAAGGAUCGGCUAACUCCGUGCCAGCAGCCGCGGUAAUACGGAGGAUCCAAGCGUUAUCCGGAAUCAUUGGGUUUAAAGGGUCCGUAGGCGGUUUAAUAAGUCAGUGGUGAAAGCCCAUCGCUCAACGAUGGAACGGCCAUUGAUACUGUUAGACUUGAAUUACAAGGAAGUAACUAGAAUAUGUAGUGUAGCGGUGAAAUGCUUAGAUAUUACAUGGAAUACCAAUUGCGAAGGCAGGUUACUACUUGUGGAUUGACGCUGAUGGACGAAAGCGUGGGGAGCGAACAGGAUUAGAAACCCGUGUAGUCC
Molecule: ribosomal RNA, 445 nt
Filed under: uncultured bacterium
Lineage: Bacteria
Description: partial 16S ribosomal RNA
Rfam family: Bacterial small subunit ribosomal RNA
Source: RNAcentral